RNAcentral lists this ribosomal RNA (587 nucleotides) under Illigera luzonensis. RNAcentral describes it as "eukaryotic LSU rRNA". It matches the Rfam family "Eukaryotic large subunit ribosomal RNA", at positions 56 to 636 of the family's 3401-position model. The record is from RNAcentral. Lineage: Eukaryota; Viridiplantae; Streptophyta; Magnoliopsida; Laurales; Hernandiaceae.
AGAAGAAACUUACGAGGAUUCCCCUAGUAACGGCGAGCGAACCGGGAAGAGCCCAGCUUGAGAAUCGGGCGGCCCAGCCGUCCGAAUUGUAGUCUGUAGAAGCGUCCUCAGCGACGGACCGGGCCCAAGUCCGCUGGAAGGUGGCGCCGGAGAGGGUGAGAGCCCCGUCGUGCCCGGACCCUGUCGCACCGCGAGGCGCUGUCGGCGAGUCGGGUUGUUUGGGAAUGCAGCCCCAAUCGGGCGGUAAAUUCCGUCCAAGGCUAAAUACAGGCGAGAGACCGAUAGCGAACAAGUACCGCGAGGGAAAGAUGAAAAGGACUUUGAAAAGAGAGUCAAAGAGUGCUUGAAAUUGUCGGGAGGGAAGCGGAUGGGGGCCGGCGAUGCGCCUCGGUCGGACGCGGAACGGCCCACGGCCGGUCUGCCAAUCGGCUCGGGGCGCGGACCGUUGCGGUUCGGGGCGGCGGCCUAAGCCCGCGCGGAAGACCCUUCCGCGCGCGGAGACGCCGUCGCCCCGAUCGGGGAAGCACAGCGCGCGCCCACCCGGCGUGCCUCACGGCAUCCGCGCGCUCUCGGCAACGGCCCGCGGG